Molecule: ribosomal RNA, 253 nt
Filed under: uncultured bacterium
Lineage: Bacteria
Description: partial 16S ribosomal RNA
Rfam family: Bacterial small subunit ribosomal RNA
Source: RNAcentral
GACGAAGGGGGCUAGCGUUGUUCGGAAUUACUGGGCGUAAAGCGCGUGUAGGCGGUUGCCCAAGUCGGGUGUGAAAGCCUUGAGCUUAACUCAAGAAAUGCACUCGGUACUGGGUGACUAGAGGACCGGAGAGGAUAGUGGAAUUCCCAGUGUAGUGGUGAAAUACGUAGAGAUUGGGAAGAACACCAGUGGCGAAGGCGGCUAUCUGGACGGUUUCUGACGCUAAGACGCGAAAGCGUGGGGAGCAAACAGG